This 63-nucleotide transfer RNA is filed under the name China mantispoides. RNAcentral describes it as "tRNA-Glu". The record is from RNAcentral. Lineage: Eukaryota; Metazoa; Arthropoda; Insecta; Orthoptera; Chorotypidae.
UUUAUAUAGUUUAAAUAAAAACAUUACGCUUUCAAUGUAAAAAUAAUAAAAAUAUUUAUAAAU